UGCAGCAUGCACUUACCAAGAUCUAAUAAUGCUUGUGAUUGGCUGUUUCAUGUUACACGUUGUAGAUGCAUGCAGGAAAAACAGCACCCUACGCACAGACAAGGGGCUCAUGUGUGUGUUGAUGUGUUUUGAGAGGCUUGACUACAGUGUGCAUCUCAUACAGUAGGUGUAAAGGAGCUAAGGAUUUUACUGUAAUGUUGUAAUUUCUU
This is a long non-coding RNA of Etheostoma spectabile (orangethroat darter), 209 nucleotides long. RefSeq lists it as uncharacterized. The transcript has 3 exons. NCBI's taxonomy places the organism in Eukaryota, Metazoa, Chordata, Actinopteri, Perciformes, Percidae. The record is from RefSeq and is a predicted model, not a curated record.